CCAAGGCUAAAUACUCCUGACUGACCGAUAGUGAACCAGUACCGUGAGGGAAAGGCGAAAAGAACCCCGGCGAGGGGAGUGAAAAAGAACCUGAAACCGUGUACGUACAAGCAGUGGGAGCACCUUCGGGUGUGACUGCGUACCUUUUGUAUAAUGGGUCAGCGACUUAUAUUCUGUAGCAAGGUUAACCGUAUAGGGGAGCCGCAGGGAAACCGAGUCUUAACUGGGCGUUAAGUUGCAGGGUAUAGACCCGAAACCCGGUGAUCUAGCCAUGGGCAGGUUGAAGGUUGGGUAACACUAACUGGAGGACCGAACCGACUAAUGUUGAAAAAUUAGCGGAUGACUUGUGGCUGGGGGUGAAAGGCCAAUCAAACCGGGAGAUAGCUGGUUCUCCCCGAAAGCUAUUUAGGUAGCGCCUCGUGAACUCAUCUUCGGGGGUAGAGCACUGUUUCGGCUAGGGGGUCAUCCCGACUUACCAACCCGAUGCAAACUACGAAUACCGAAGAAUGUUAUCACGGGAGACACACGGCGGGUGCUAACGUCCGUCGUGAAGAGGGAAACAACCCAGACCGCCAGCUAAGGUCCCAAAGUCAUGGUUAAGUGGGAAACGAUGUGGGAAGGCACAGACAGCCAGGAUGUUGGCUUAGAAGCAGCCAUCAUUUAAAGAAAGCGUAAUAGCUCACUGGUCGAGUCGGCCUGCGCGGAAGAUGUAACGGGGCUAAACCAUGCACCGAAGCUGCGGCAGCGACACUAUGUGUUGUUGGGUAGGGGAGCGUUCUGUAAGCCUGCGAAGGUGACCUGUGAGGGUUGCUGGAGGUAUCAGAAGUGCGAAUGCUGACAUAAGUAACGAUAAAGCGGGUGAAAAGCCCGCUCGCCGGAAGACCAAGGGUUCCUGUCCAACGUUAAUCGGGGCAGGGUGAGUCGACCCCUAAGGCGAGGCCGAAAGGCGUAGUCGAUGGGAAACAGGUUAAUAUUCCUGUACUUGGUGUUACUGCGAA
Molecule: ribosomal RNA, 998 nt
Filed under: Klebsiella pneumoniae
Lineage: Bacteria; Pseudomonadati; Pseudomonadota; Gammaproteobacteria; Enterobacterales; Enterobacteriaceae
Description: partial 23S ribosomal RNA
Rfam family: Bacterial large subunit ribosomal RNA
Source: RNAcentral